Molecule: ribosomal RNA, 318 nt
Filed under: uncultured bacterium
Lineage: Bacteria
Description: bacterial SSU rRNA
Rfam family: Bacterial small subunit ribosomal RNA
Source: RNAcentral
GAUGAACGCUGGCGGCGUGCUUAACACAUGCAAGUCGAACGAAGCGAGAACUAAAGCGCAAGCAGAGGUUCUUGACUGAGUGGCGGACGGGUGAGUAACGCGUGGAUAACCUGCCUUUCACAGGGGGAUAACAGCUGGAAACGGCUGCUAAUACCGCAUGAGCCUCUUUUGUCGCAUGAGGAGAGAGGGAAAGAGAAAUCGGUGAGAGAUGGAUCCGCGUCCGAUUAGCUAGUUGGAGGGGUAACAGCCCACCAAGGCGACGAUCGGUAGCCGACCUGAGAGGGUGGACGGCCACAUUGGGACUGAGACACGGCCCAA